This 480-nucleotide ribosomal RNA is filed under the name uncultured bacterium. Its description in RNAcentral is "partial 16S ribosomal RNA". It matches the Rfam family "Bacterial small subunit ribosomal RNA", at positions 28 to 507 of the family's 1533-position model. The record is from RNAcentral.
GAUGAACGCUGGCGGCGUGCUAAACCCAGGCAAGUCGAACGAACAAUUUGGAACGGUUUCCUUCGGUUGAAGGUUCUUUUUGACUGGGUGCCGACGGGUGAGUUACCGCGGGGGAACCCGGCCUUUUCCUGGGGGAUGGCACCUGGAAACGGCGGGUAAUCCGCAAAAAGGCCCAAUGGUGCAUUACAAUGGGUGAAAAACUCCGGUGGUAUAAGAUGGACCCGCGUCUGAUUAGCUAGUUGGUGAGAUAACAGCCCACCAAGGCGACGAUCAGUAGCCGACCUGAGAGGGUGACCGGCCACAUUGGGACUGAGACACGGCCCAGACUCCUACGGGAGGCAGCAGUGGGGAAUAUUGCACAAUGGAGGAAACUCUGAUGCAGCGACGCCGCGUGAGUGAAGAAGUAAUUCGUUAUGUAAAGCUCUAUCAGCAGGGAAGAUAGUGACGGUACCUGACGAAGAAGCUCCGGCUAAAUACGUG